GAAAUCCCGUAAAUGGUCAAGCAAAGGCUGAGAAUUACAACUAGGCCACCCGCUGCGAGCGAGCCUGCUUGACCUGCAUAGGCGGUGUUCCUGAGUGGGCCCGUCUUGACGAACGGGCCGACUAGGAGAAGCCCGUGGGCCAGGCCGACUUCCACUCCUCGGAGAAGUGGGUUGACAGCUGUACGGUAGGCGGGUAGGUUGGAGAGGUACCAUGCGAUCAACGGGCUCGAUGUGACCGGGGU
RNAcentral lists this long non-coding RNA (242 nucleotides) under Erythranthe guttata (spotted monkey flower). RNAcentral describes it as "long non-coding RNA (EGUT_LNC000012)". Lineage: Eukaryota; Viridiplantae; Streptophyta; Magnoliopsida; Lamiales; Phrymaceae. The record is from RNAcentral.